RNAcentral lists this long non-coding RNA (6426 nucleotides) under Ananas comosus (pineapple). RNAcentral's name for it is "long non-coding RNA (ACOM_LNC034745)". The record is from RNAcentral. Lineage: Eukaryota; Viridiplantae; Streptophyta; Magnoliopsida; Poales; Bromeliaceae.
UGCUUUUCAUUAACUUUACCCAAUCUUUUGGUUAACUCUCUGGUUAACAGCUGGACAAGUACGUUAGUCCUGGGGCAAGUACGUUAGCCCAUAAAUUUACCCAAUUCAGUGGUUAACCCUUUGGUUAACAAUAACUCACCAACAAAAUCCCUCACGGGCCCUAAGCUGCCUCCCGAUGGGACCGUCUGUCGGACAAGUACGUUAGUCCUGGGGCAAGUACGUUAGCCCAACAAGUGACUACUCCGGAGCUCACUGCCUGGGGGGAGCGACCACCACCAAGCUAAGAAAACAGACUAGUGAGUAAGAUCUGAUCCCCUUUUAGAGGAUUCAACUGACAACAAUGUCACCAUUUAACUCUAACUAGUUCUUUAUACUAGUUUCAUAAUUACAUUUCUCGAUGCUAACCAAAUCUCUAGUCAUGAUGUCACCAAGUUUACUAUUGUCUUGGUCAAUGCAUUCAUAGGGUUCUAUGUCCACAAUCUAAGGUUCACAAAUUCUCAUUGUUGAUAGGAAUUCACAUUUUCACUCGCUCAAUGCCAAACACCCUAUAAUGCAUGACUACAAAUAUAAAUAUGCUCAACGAAGAAUUAUAGACAUAAAAGGUGAUUCAAAGAGUUCGGAUAGCACCACCCACCUGUAGUGGUGUCAAUCAACUAGAAUCCACGUCUCGGAAAGCGUCGACGACUAUCUCUCGCGACUCCGUGCAAAUAGAAGUAGAACGGUCUCUACCGUAAUUAGCGCGUCGCCGACCUGUCGGAAAGUCAAUUUAGACUCUUGGGCAUGUUUACUUUUCACUUAUAAAGGAUUAGAAAAGAUUAAACUAGAGUCAUUACUCAUAUUUUACAAGUUAGCAUUUCAAUGCUAUAUUAAGCGGCAACUAUAGCCGAAAACCUUCUUUUGGCGAUAUCUUUGCGUAGGUUCGUCGGAUUGCCGAACCGACUUCGCGAACGCGUUUCUUUUACCCUCAAUUUGGUUUACACGCGGUCAAUUUCGCAUUAGGACUUUUAUUUUGCAAAAGUGCAUUGCCGGGGUCAGUUUUCUCAAAAACACCCAUUUCAAUGCAAUUUCGCAAAUACGUUAAGUAUUUCAACUCUUUUUAGCCUUAGAAUCUCAAAAACACGUAGUGAAAUCUGCCCAAAUACUCGAUUCCAUUUUUCUCUCUAUUUCAUUUUCUUUCUUUUCUUUCUUCUCUUUCUUUUCUUUCCUUCUUUCUUCCUCUUUUCUUUCUUUCUUUCUUGCUGGCCCUGCAGGGCAGCAGCUGCUGCUGCCACUGCUGCUGCUGCUGAUUGCUGCAGCUGCUGCUGCUUGCUGCAGCUGCUGCUGCUGCUGCUGCUGCUGGCUAAGCUGCUGCUGCUGCUGCUGGCUAAGCUGCUGCUGCUAAUCCAGCAGCUGCUGCUGCUGGCGCAUGCUGCUGCUGCUGCUGGCGCAUGCUGCUGCUCCUGCGCACUGCUGCUGCUGCUGAUGCUCCUGAAGCUGUUGCUGCUGCUUCUGCUAAGGCUGCUGCUGCUGCUGCUGCAGCUCUGCUGCUGAGCUGCUGCUGCUGCUGCUGCUUCUCCUGCUGCUGAUCCAGCAGCUGCUGCUGGUACUAUUGCUACAAUCAGUAGCAGGGAGAGAGGGUAGAGAGGGAGAGAUCACAAGGAGAGGGAAAAAAAUAGAAUUUUACCUCUUUUUCUUUUUCUCUUCUUCUUCUUCUCUUUUCUCUUCUCUUCUUUCUCUUCUUUUCUCCUUCUCUCUCUCUCUCUCUCUCUGUACGUAGGCAGCAAGAAGGGGGAUAAGGAUGGAGGGGGCUGCCUGGCAGGUUUAGUGGAAAUCCACUAAGCCUAGGAUAUUUACCAUUUUGCCCCUCGAGUUAAGUCCGUUUAGUCGCACGGAUUAGAUACCUUUUGCAGGCUCUUCCGACAGUCCGAUUGAGCUCAAAUUUGGCAGGAAUGUUCAUUUUUACUUAACAAGUCCACUGAAAUUUUAACAUUUCAGUUUCGACCCCGUUUGGUCACUGCGAACUGUUCCGAACUGUAAUCUUUAUCCGAUAACUUCCAGAUGCUAUUUCUCUCUCUACAGGUGUCAGAAAAAUCUGAAACUUCAAAUCUAGCCUUAUAAUAAUGUUCCUGACAUCUCUGCCAAUUUUCAUAAUUUUCUGACACUGUGCAUUUUCUGCUAAUUUCUCAGUCCCGUUCUUUACAGAAAAUUCCAAUUCUUCUGUUUUCGCUCCGAUUUCAACACGAACACUUCCAAAACAUGCCGAGGGACUUUCACAAGCUACCAGUUUAAUUUGGAAGCAAUUCCUUUUCAUUUUGACAUCAUUUGAGCCGAAUUAGCAAUAGAAUCGGCUCCAAUUUCAUUACACGGCAGAAAUUUCUCCUUUUUGCACUACCACUUCGCACUGAACACUUCAAAACCCUUUGAAAACACACCCUUGGCUUUUCCGAAACUUCACAAUUGAUUCGGAGAUUCCACAAUUUAUCCUUACGCCUUACUUUAAUUCUUUUAAUCAAAGUUAGCGUCGGAAAUCUGAAAAUUCUCUUUACUCUCUUUACAUUUCGUUUCGCGCCCAAUUUGCGCCGACACACUUAUUUCUCUUUGGAACUCAUUCCAAUGCAUCACAAAUCCCUCGGGGAUGAUGUCCAACUAGCUCAAUCCUCACUUUGACCCUCUAGGUCAAAGUUGACAUCGCAACUCCAAAUUUCCAUAUGUUACAUUCUCCUCCCGUUAACAAAAGUUUCGUCCGCGAAACUUAGAUACUUAUUACUCCUCAUUGCUUAACGGAUGGAGAUAAAUUCCAACACUAUUCCAAAGUUUCUCAACUUCAUUCCAGAGUAUACUGAUUUCUCCAAUCAGUCUCUACGAACACUUUGUUCGCAUUUCCAAUCUCAACUCGUCAUCGAUGCUUAUUUUAACAAUUCUGACUCAUUAAUCCAUAGGACCGAGCCUUCGCUCUCACAGUCCCAAUACACUAUCCUUCACUUGGACAUGCACAUAGGUAAACUAUUUGUCUCAAUUACCUCAAAUCUGUUCAACUUAACUCAACGUCUCUCGCGCACAAGCGGAGACCCAAUUAUCAUUAUUGGGCGAAAUUCUCAUUGGAGAAUUCACACAUACUCCAACCAGGAGCAAUCGAGACCCCAAACCACGCCAAACCCUCGGGUUAGGUCACAACCGCACUCUCAGUGCAUCACCGAUUUCACGAUCCAACACGUGGCAUUCCACGUACUCGAGUCUAUGCUCGGACUACCAUCCUGACCAAAACUCUCCGCCCUACCUGCAGGUAUCGGGCCGCUGUCUCUCACAGCUGACUGCGCCUGCCCAAUGGGCCCAGGCUCCACAGUCCAAAAAGGGUCCAGGCACGGAUCGUCCCCAAGCACUACCCGCCAACAUCGUCCUGCACGACAUGCUCUACAGAGCUACCCACUCUAACGGCUCUUAAGCACCUAGUGCGAGCCAACAGCCCUAAGAGUGAUCCAUGGCCCGCUUCACACUUAGCCCUGCUAAAGCGCUACUGCCAAUUCACUCUUCAGGCUGAUCCACAAUCCACGAUCUACGGACAACUAACUCAAGUGUCCAACACGAUCGCGUCUCUCGCUAGAUAGCACUCCUCUAGUGCUCGUUAGGCAACUUAGCCUACGACUAUAAUACAUAAACACAAAUUUCCUCAACUGAUUUGAGGUACAACUCAAUUAACUCGCCAAAACCAGGCGAUAAUCUAACGACCUCCCAAUAGUGACGCCAUUACUGUUACGCAACCCAUCGGAAUAUCAUCCGACUUCUCAAUGUCAUGCGUUCUAGCAAAUGAGCUACUAAUGAAUGAAUGCAAUGCACCAGUGUCAAUAAUAUACGCGAUCUAGUACUAUAAAGUAAAACAAUACCUGCCACGACAUCGUCGACCACGGCAGGAUCCUCAACCUGAGCUGCAAAGACACGACCACUCGGUGCAGGUCGGGGUGGCUCGUACUGACGCGGCACAAAAGUAUGUCCAGCUGACAUAGCGGGUGGGGGACCCGCACGCUGCCUCGCAGGCGACUGAACUGAAGCUGUAGGCUGAGCAGAUGAUGCUCCUCUCGGGCAAUCACGACUAAUGUGUCCCGGCUGUCCACACUUAAAACAUUUACCGUCCUUUUGUGAACAAGCUACCGCUUGAUGAUUCCCGCCGCAAAUCACACAUCCCGGGGGUCCCUGAUACCUCGACUGGGAACGUGGAUACCGAGGGGGCCGUUUAGAGCUCGACUGUCCCCCGGCACCACUAGUGGUCCUUUUCUUUCCCUUUUCCCUUUCUCGUUCUCUUUCAAACGAUUCGCGUUCCUCACGCGCAAUCGCAUUUCCGCGCUCCACCCAAAGCGCUCGAUCCAGAACCUCCUCAAAUGUCUUUAACUUUAGAGCACUAAUUAUCUUAAAUAUUUCAGGCCGUAACCCCCGCUCGAAGUAAUCUGCUCUAUCUCGAUCGGUAUGCACCAUCCCGGGUACACAGUUCACCAAAUGAGUGAACUCCCGUUCGUACUCCCGUACCGAACGGUUCCCCUGUCUCAACUUCCUAAAAUCUUCCUUCAUCUUUCUUCUAUCGCUAUCUGGGAAGUACUCCAUGAAUACGAUCUCUCUAAACUCCUCCCAGGUAAUCGAUGAAGUGUUUAGACCUCGGCUUUUCUUGGCCUUUUGCCACCAGAUCUGGGCAUCCUUCUCAAAACAGUGCGCUGCUAAAUGAACCUUAUCCUUUUCCAGGGUAUAUAUAUCCUCAAACAAGGCUUCCAUCGAUGUGAACCACGUCUCUAAUACCCAAGGAUCGGCUUCUUUCCCGUCAAACAUCGGCGGAUUAAACCGCAUGAACGCCGUCAGUACUGAUAAGGAUCGCUCGUGCUCGGCCUUUGUCGCGGCCGAAUCAGAACUAGAAGGCCCAGAGACCACAGGAGGAAUAACAACUGGAGGAGGGGGCACUACCACUGGCGAAUCCGGGAUAGGUACAUCCUGACUCCCAGAAGCUGUUGUCGUCGCCUGUUGCGACACCAAAUUCUGUAGCUUUUUCAUAUUUUCCUCCUGUCUCUGUAUAGCUCCGACUAACGCGCUCACCUGAGCACGCAACUCCUGAACCUCAUCAGACCCAGACUGCUCUGGCACCUCAGAAGGUGAUGCCGGAGUGGAUCUCGUCGCACGUCGCGGUGGCAUUUCUCCUGAAACGAACCAUUUACAUUAGUAACACAAACCAAUCAGGCGAAAGCAAUCAAGCGUAUUUAUACUCAACCCUUAGCUUCAUGUUGUGGCCAUUCAACAUAACUCCUUAGGUUGUGUAUAGACAACACUUGGAUCAGCCCCUAAUGAACAUUAGAGACUUACUAACAACUAACCCAAUUCAUUCAGCUUUCGCUAUCAUUAGAUUCACGCCACUCGCGUUCCUAGUCCCUAGGUUUCCAUUCCUAAGUCCCCUAGGUCAUCCUAGACUUUCACUAUCACUUGCUCUGAUACCACUUUAUCUGUCACGUCCCGCUAUCGCCUAUUUGGUCGAUCCGGGCCCGCGCACAGACGCCGAACGAACAACACCUCCUCUGUUCGCCCAAGGCUCAACAACAACGAGUACAUGUAUAAAGAAAUAAAUAAUUCCCAGGAGCACAUUUCAAUAUACAUGGCUUGCACGAAGGCAAGCAACAACCACAAGUGAUAGUAAACUAACUGUACAAUGAAAUUCACUGUAAUUUAAAACUUUACACAACAGAACUUGUAACUAAAACAUUUAGUUUUAUACAUGUUUUCUAAUAUAUUCAUUUACAUGUCUCUGUACAUCAAAAUGGAUGAUACAUGAACUCAAAAUGGUAAUUGCUAAACUCUGGUGUCAGCUAGCUAAGCUGCAGGGCUCUUGCCACGAUCCUCGGCCUCAAACCUCGCACUGGAACCUGUAUGGUUAGUGGUGUGAGAACUACAAGAAAGUUCCCAGUGGGUUCGGCUGCCGACUUCGCCGACUCACCCACUAGGUCUACUCAGGCAUAUGUAGGCAAGAAAAGUAAGCAGAUAGUAACCAACUAUAACAUGUAACUACUACAAUGCCUGUACAAAGCUGAAAGAAGUAACAGAUAUGAAAACUGUAAAUAUGCAUGCAUGCUUUUCAUUAACUUUACCCAAUCUUUUGGUUAACUCUCUGGUUAACAGCUGGACAAGUACGUUAGUCCUGGGGCAAGUACGUUAGCCCAUAAAUUUACCCAAUUCAGUGGUUAACCCUUUGGUUAACAAUAACUCACCAACAAAAUCCCUCACGGGCCCUAAGCUGCCUCCCGAUGGGACCGUCUGUCGGACAAGUACGUUAGUCCUGGGGCAAGUACGUUAGCCCAACAAGUGACUACUCCGGAGCUCACUGCCUGGGGGGAGCGACCACCACCAAGCUAAGAAAACAGACUAGUGAGUAAGAUCUGAUCCCCUUUUAGAGGAUUCAACUGACAACAAUGUCACCAUUUA